RNAcentral lists this long non-coding RNA (424 nucleotides) under Ananas comosus (pineapple). RNAcentral describes it as "long non-coding RNA (ACOM_LNC028534)". Lineage: Eukaryota; Viridiplantae; Streptophyta; Magnoliopsida; Poales; Bromeliaceae. The record is from RNAcentral.
AUAUAUUGUGCGAGUAUAUCUUAAAAGGAUCAAUUGCAUACAAGUUCCUGCAAAUAUAGUAAAUUACAUAUAUAUUCCUGUAAAGUUCAACUUUCAUAAGUUAUUCCUAUAAAAGUUCUAAUAUUUUUAGAUAUGUCUCUACCGUUAAAAUUCGUUAGAAAAGUUUAGUUAACCAAAGGUUAAAUAUUUUAUCCGGAUUAAUUUUUAACCUUUUUAUUCCUCUUAUAUUAUACUGUUAUAACUUUUAGAGGGACAUAUUUGUGAUGGCAAAAUUAGAAAUAUAAAUAAUUUUCUAACAAUUCUCUAAUGGUAACAAACUAGAGUGACAUAUCUGAAAAUAUUAGGACUUUUGCAUAGAAAAUUUAUAAAAGUUGAACUUUAUAGAAAUAUAUUUAUAAUUUAUUAUAUUUGCGGGGAUCAGUAU